RNAcentral lists this ribosomal RNA (451 nucleotides) under uncultured bacterium. RNAcentral's name for it is "SSU rRNA". It matches the Rfam family "Bacterial small subunit ribosomal RNA", at positions 26 to 518 of the family's 1533-position model. The record is from RNAcentral.
AGAGCGAACGCUGGCGGCAGGCUUAACACAUGCAAGUCGAGCGGGCGUAGCAAUACGUCAGCGGCAGACGGGUGAGUAACGCGUGGGAACGUACCUUUUGGUUCGGAACAACCCAGGGAAACUUGGGCUAAUACCGGAUAAGCCCUUACGGGGAAAGAUUUAUCGCCGAAAGAUCGGCCCGCGUCUGAUUAGCUAGUUGGUGAGGUAAUGGCUCACCAAGGCGACGAUCAGUAGCUGGUCUGAGAGGAUGAUCAGCCACAUUGGGACUGAGACACGGCCCAAACUCCUACGGGAGGCAGCAGUGGGGAAUAUGCGCAAUGGGCGAAAGCCUGACGCAGCGACGCCGCGUGGGGAUGAAUGCCUUCGGGUUGUAAACCCCUUUCAGCAGGGACGAAGCGAGAGUGACGGUACCUGCAGAAGAAGCGCCGGCUAACUACGUGCCAGCAGCCGC